Molecule: long non-coding RNA, 386 nt
Filed under: Trifolium pratense (red clover)
Lineage: Eukaryota; Viridiplantae; Streptophyta; Magnoliopsida; Fabales; Fabaceae
Description: long non-coding RNA (TPRA_LNC001978)
Source: RNAcentral
AUAACUUAGGGGUUAUAGAGAAAGUAGCACUAACGGAAUAGCGUGGGAUAUGAGCUGUUUUGAAUGAGAAGACUAGUUGUUAAAAAAGGGUAAUCCCUCAAAAAAACAAGAGUGCACGCCUCUUGGCUGUCAUGGGACCCAACUUCACUACCUCUUUUUGUAUCCUUGUCAUGUUCAAUCCUUUUGUGAGUUUACCUUUUUCCCUCAUGUGUACAAUUUUAUCACUACCUAAUGCUAUUAAGCACACCACACCUUAUUCCCCCCCUUUUGUGAGAAGAAGACUGAGACAGACAACUUUGUGUUGAUGAUGAGGGGGACCCUUUUCAUUCACUUCAUGGAUAUGGUUAUUGGUGCAGUUAUGUAACUCUGCCUUGUUUUGGAAAAGC